ACUAACAAUAAAAUAAAAUAAAAGAAAAUGAAAAGAAAAAAGAAAACCCCAAAAUCCCCACCCAAACCCACGAUUUCCACCGGACCUCCAUUAAUCUUCUCUUUCGAAUUUGGCUGCUCCAAACUUUCAUCACCACCAAAAAAAAUCAUCAUAAUCACCACCGUAAAUCAACAUCAUCAUCAUCUAUCGUGGCCGUCCAAUUUUCAUUAAAAAUCACGUGAAAAGCUCGUGAUUGACCCACAAUUGCGCGCCCGCACAGAGGCCGCACAGCAAGUCGCGCAAAGCUACUGCCUCGACUAUGAUUUUGGAUUCCAAUUGUGCGCUUUCUGACAGGCUGCGCGGCCGCGGUGGAGGCUUGAGAUGGUGAGUUUGGGUGUUGUGAGUUGCGCGGCUAUUAGGUGAGUAAUUUGGUGGUGAUUUAGGUGGUUGAUUGUGGGUGAAGGGCUGGUGGUUUAAUUGGUGUUGCGGGGGUCGAAUUAAAGGUGGUAAUUGCUGGCGGUUUGGUGGCGAAAUGGGAGGUGACGGUGGAACAGAGGGUGUGAAAUGGUGAUUAAUUGGUUGUUGUGGGUAAUUGAUUGGGUUGCUGGUGGUGUGAGGAUGUGGUGGCUGAUGGUGUUGUGUUUGUUGUUGUAGCUGUUGGAGGAUGGUGGUUUGGGUGGUUGAUUGGUGGCUGACGGAGGUUGUUCUUGAUUGGAGUGGAGUGCUGGUGCGGUUGUGGUGGGCUGAUAGGUGGUGUUGGUUGUGAUUUUGGUGGCGAAAUGGGAGGUGAGGCUGGGUUGUUGUGAGGGGGCAAAGGGUUGGUUGUUGCGGUUUUGGUGGGUGAUGAUGGUGGUGAUUGCUGGCGGUUUUGGUGUUGUUGGGCUGAUUGGAGUUGCGUGGUGGAGCAGGGGCUGUUGUUGUUGCGGUUCGUUGGCUGGUAAUGGGGUUGAAUUGGGUGUGGAUUGGUGGUGGUUGAUUGAUGGUGUUUUGUUGGUGACCGAUGCUGUUGUGGUGGAUAAAUUAUUGUAAAAUAAGCCGGAAAGCGACUCAAUAAACACCCUAAAAGUGACACAAAAGUCACUUAUCAGGCUUUACUCUAGUUAAUUCGCUGAUGUGGGUUUCUGACUUCUAGGGGCCUUGCUCCAAUUUCACGCAACGUUAAUGAUGUCACUUAUCAGGCUUUACUCUAGUUAAUUCGCUGAUGUGGGUUUCUGACUUCUAGGGGCCUUGCUCCAAUUUCACGCAACGUUAAUGAUUGGCCUUGGAGGAAUUAGAGUUUUGACUGGGAAACAAACUCCUUUUCCUUUAAAAGGAUGGAGUUAGUUACGGAUGAGUAGUUUUGAGUUUUAGCUUUUUAGUUACUUAAAUUUUAGUCACUUAAAUUUUAGUCUUAGUUUUAAUUAUAGUUUUUUUUUUUUCCGUAACUUGCUUUAGUUAGACGUUUAAUUUGCAUGCUGAGGAUUUUAGAUAGGCGGAAGGAGGAAGAUGGAGCAAGGUUUGGUCGAUUCGAGUUUCAGGUGAAUAAACUAAGGGUUUCCUACAGCACACGCGCCGGAGGAGAGGAUCGGAAAAGAAUACAGCAGCUUCUGAGGAAAACCAUAUGUUCAAGGUUGAAUUAGAGAAGAUUUUCUUGAUUGAGUUGUCAAUGUAUGUGCCAAGGUGCUAUCAACAAAUAUGAUGGUUUAGAGACAUUUACAACAUUUUCAAUCCUUAAUCUUAGUCUAACGCGGCACAAUCAGGUCAUUGACACUUCAUUGUAGCCCCUUUUCUUCUUGGUUAAGUUAAAUGUGUGAGUUUAACAGGAACACAAAUGUAAGCAGUAUGUCUUGGAUACAACACUACGACAAAUUUAAGUAGGAGGAUGCUUACAUAGAAGGUGGUGACAGUUCCAGCUGAAUUGCUAGAGGGCAGCUUGAGUCCCAAGGUACAUACCUCCUUCUUCUGUCAACACUAGAUCAACACUGUCUGGACCUGUAUAUUUGCCACGGGUUUCACCCAAGUAGAAAUUGGUACAGUCUGAUAAUGUGGCACGAACCGAGCAUGCUUGAAGAGCAAUUGCAGAGGCAAAGAAAGCUAUGAGAAUUGCUUUCAGGAUGAAGCUUCUGAAGAGACUGGAGAGGCUCCAAUCUACUGGAAGAAAACAGCACCUUGCUAUCUAUGGAUACGCAGUUAGGUUUUUCCAAUACAAUUGCUCUUUAAUGCCUUUUUUCGAAGUUGAGGAUUCAAGAACUCUGGAUGUAGCAUAUGAUAUGGACCUAAUAAGAGUUUCCUGGCAGGUUCAGGUAACUGAGGAUAAAGCUAGCUAUUCACAUAGUUUUAUAAAUAAUUGAAACCCGAUGGGAGAGUUUUAAUCAUUGGUUAUUGCAAGAAUGCUGGUAUACAUACACCCAUCACGUCAACGCCUGAAUUUGUUACAUAUAUUAAGCAGACUGGACAUGAACUAUAUGAUGUGUAGGCAAGUGUCUAGGUUUUAUUCUCAGUUCCCCAUCUUCGAAAUUAGAAUUUCUUACUAUUAGCAUAUAUACUGAUGAUGUAUUCAUUCGUUCCAAAUACUUACGAGAUGCAGUCGAGAAAGAAAUAGAAAGAUUUGUUGCAAACUUUGGAGUUUGUUCAUUUUGUUGAGAAAUCAGUAAAGAACUAAUCGUUGUCGAUGUC
Long non-coding RNA from Chenopodium quinoa (quinoa), 2634 nucleotides. RefSeq lists it as uncharacterized. The record is from RefSeq and is a predicted model, not a curated record. NCBI's taxonomy places the organism in Eukaryota, Viridiplantae, Streptophyta, Magnoliopsida, Caryophyllales, Amaranthaceae. The transcript is spliced from 8 exons.